GUUCGAAUUGUAGUCUGGAGAAG
RNAcentral lists this small nuclear RNA (23 nucleotides) under Arabidopsis thaliana (thale cress). Its description in RNAcentral is "snRNA_01300". Lineage: Eukaryota; Viridiplantae; Streptophyta; Magnoliopsida; Brassicales; Brassicaceae. The record is from RNAcentral.